AUUGAACGCUGGCGGCAGGCCUAACACAUGCAAGUCGAGCGGAUGAAGGGAGCUUGCUCCUGGAUUCAGCGGCGGACGGGUGAGUAAUGCCUAGGAAUCUGCCUGGUAGUGGGGGAUAACGUCCGGAAACGGGCGCUAAUACCGCAUACGUCCUGCGGGAGAAAGUGGGGGAUCUUCGGACCUCACGCUAUCAGAUGAGCCUAGGUCGGAGUAGCUAGUUGGUGGGGUAAAGGCCUACCAAGGCGACGACCCGUAACUGGUCUGAGAGGAUGAUCAGUCACACUAGAACUGAGACGCGGUCCAGACUCCUACGGGAGGCAGCAGUGGGGAAUGUUGGACAGUGGGCGAGAGCCUGAUCCAGCCGGGCCGCGUGUGUGAAGAAGGUCUUCGGAUUGGAAAGCACUUUAAGUUGGGAGGAAGGGCAGUAAGUUAAUACCUUGCUGUUUUGACGUUACCAACAGAAUAAGCACCGGCUAACUUCGUG
This 484-nucleotide ribosomal RNA is filed under the name uncultured bacterium. RNAcentral describes it as "partial 16S ribosomal RNA". It matches the Rfam family "Bacterial small subunit ribosomal RNA", at positions 30 to 507 of the family's 1533-position model. The record is from RNAcentral.